GAUGAACGCUAGCGGGAGGCCUAACACAUGCAAGUCGAGGGGCAGCAUUGUAGCUUGCUACAGAUGGCGACCGGCGCACGGGUGAGUAACGCGUAUGCAACCUGCCUUAUACUGAGGGAUAGCCCAGAGAAAUUUGGAUUAAUACCUCAUGGUUCUAUAGAGUCGCAUGGCUUAGUAGAUAAAGAAUUUCGGUAUAAGAUGGGCAUGCGUGACAUUAGAUAGUUGGUGAGGUAACGGCUCACCAAGUCGACGAUGUCUAGGGGUUCUGAGAGGAUGAUCCCCCACACUGGUACUGAGACACGGACCAGACUCCUACGGGAGGCAGCAGUGAGGAAUAUUGGUCAAUGGGCGCAAGCCUGAACCAGCCAUCCCGCGUGUAUGAUGACGGCCUUAUGGGUUGUAAAGUACUUUUAUCUACCAAGAAAAGCAGUUACGUGUAAUUGUCUGACGGUAGUAGAUGAAUAAGCACCGGCUAACUCCG
RNAcentral lists this ribosomal RNA (481 nucleotides) under uncultured Bacteroidales bacterium. RNAcentral's name for it is "bacterial SSU rRNA". It matches the Rfam family "Bacterial small subunit ribosomal RNA", at positions 28 to 505 of the family's 1533-position model. Lineage: Bacteria; Pseudomonadati; Bacteroidota; Bacteroidia; Bacteroidales. The record is from RNAcentral.